RNAcentral lists this transfer RNA (72 nucleotides) under Cavia porcellus (domestic guinea pig). It matches the Rfam family "tRNA". Rfam says of the family: Transfer RNA (tRNA) molecules are approximately 80 nucleotides in length. The record is from Rfam by way of RNAcentral. Lineage: Eukaryota; Metazoa; Chordata; Mammalia; Rodentia; Caviidae.
GGAGAUGUAGCUCAGUAGUAGAGCACUUGCCUAGGGUGCAGGAGGCCAUGGUUUUGAUCUCUAACACUGCCA